UCGCCUGUUUAUCAAAAACAUUGCCUCCCGCUUAUUUAUGUGAGGUACUUCCUGCCCAGUGUUAAUUAUAAACGGCCGCGGUACCCUGACCGUGCAAAGGUAGCAUAAUCAUUCGCCCUUUAAUUGUGGGCUUGUAUGAAAGGAUAAACGAGAAACUACCUGUCUCUUUCUUUAUAGUAAAAACUAGACCUUAGGUGAAGAUACCUAAAACCCUAAGCAGGACAAGAAGACCCUAAAGAGCUUCACCACUAUUUGGGUUUAGUUGGGGCGACGAAGGAAUCUUCCUCACCUUCCUAAAAAUUAAGGCAUACGCCUUUUUAAAGAUCCGAUGUAUCGACUAAAAAAUAAAGCUACCUUAGGGAUAACAGGCUAAUCCUCUUAGAGAGUCCACAUUGAAAAGAGGGGUUGGCACCUCGAUGUUGGCUUAGGGAAACCAGAAAGUGCAGCAGCUUUCCGGGUGGGUUUGUUCAACCUUUAAACCCCUACGUGAUCUGAGUUCAGACCGGA
RNAcentral lists this ribosomal RNA (507 nucleotides) under Ophelina sp. SIO_BIC A3417. RNAcentral describes it as "partial 16S ribosomal RNA". It matches the Rfam family "Bacterial large subunit ribosomal RNA", at positions 1796 to 2620 of the family's 2925-position model. The record is from RNAcentral. Lineage: Eukaryota; Metazoa; Annelida; Polychaeta; Opheliidae.